RNAcentral lists this ribosomal RNA (468 nucleotides) under uncultured bacterium. RNAcentral describes it as "partial 16S ribosomal RNA". It matches the Rfam family "Bacterial small subunit ribosomal RNA", at positions 28 to 507 of the family's 1533-position model. The record is from RNAcentral.
GACGAACGCUGGCGGCGUGCUUAACACAUGCAAGUCGAACGGAAAGGCCCUGCUUUUGUGCGGUGCUCGAGUGGCGAACGGGUGAGUAACACGUGAGUAACCUGCCCUUGACUUUGGGAUAACUUCAGGAAACUGGGGCUAAUACCGGGUAGGAUCUCCUGCUGCAUGGUGGGGGUUGGAAAGUUUCGGCGGUUGGGGAUGGACUCGCGGCUUAUCCGCUUGUUGGUGGGGUAGUGGCUUACCAAGGCUUUGACGGGUAGCCGGCCUGGGAGGGUGACCGGCCACAUGGGGCCUGAGAUACGGCCCAGACUCCUACGGGAGGCAGCAGUGGGGAAUAUUGCACAAUGGGGGGAAGCCUGAUGCAGAAACGCCGCGUGCGGGAUGACGGCCUUCGGGUUGUAAACCGCUUUCGCCUGUGACGAAGCGUGAGUGACGGUAAUGGGUAAAGAAGCACCGGCUAACUACGUG